UGGGGAAUAUUGGACAAUGGGCGAAAGCCUGAUCCAGCCAUGCCGCGUGAGUGACGAAGGCCUUAGGGUUGUAAAACUCUUUCGUCGGGGACGAUAAUGACGGUACCCGAAGAAGAAGCUCCGGCUAACUUCGUGCCAGCAGCCGCGGUAAUACGAAGGGAGCUAGCGUUGUUCGGAAUCACUGGGCGUAAAGCGCACGUAGGCGGAUAGUUAAGUCAGGGGUGAAAUCCUGGGGCUCAACCCCAGAACUGCCUUUGAUACUGGCUGUCUCGAGGUCGAGAGAGGUUGGUGGAAUUCCUAGUGUAGAGGUGAAAUUCGUAGAUAUUAGGAAGAACACCAGUGGCUAAGGCGGCCAACUGGCUCGAUACUGACGCUGAGGUGCGAAAGCGUGGGGAGCAAACAGGAUUAGAUACCCCCGUAGUCCCUGAGCGGGCUGGCAAGGCGCAU
RNAcentral lists this ribosomal RNA (447 nucleotides) under uncultured bacterium. RNAcentral describes it as "bacterial SSU rRNA". It matches the Rfam family "Bacterial small subunit ribosomal RNA", at positions 355 to 825 of the family's 1533-position model. The record is from RNAcentral.